RNAcentral lists this transfer RNA (75 nucleotides) under Candidatus Omnitrophota bacterium. RNAcentral's name for it is "tRNA-Glu". It matches the Rfam family "tRNA". Rfam says of the family: Transfer RNA (tRNA) molecules are approximately 80 nucleotides in length. Their secondary structure includes four short double-helical elements and three loops (D, anti-codon, and T loops). Lineage: Bacteria; Pseudomonadati; Candidatus Omnitrophota. The record is from RNAcentral.
GGCGCUAUCGUCUAGCCCGGCUCAGGACGCUUGGUUCUCAGCCAAGAAACCCGGGUUCAAAUCCCGGUAGCGCUG